This 880-nucleotide ribosomal RNA is filed under the name Alternaria tenuissima. Its description in RNAcentral is "eukaryotic LSU rRNA". The stretch from base 536 to 689 matches the Rfam family "5.8S ribosomal RNA". Lineage: Eukaryota; Fungi; Ascomycota; Dothideomycetes; Pleosporales; Pleosporaceae. The record is from RNAcentral.
CAUAGCAAGGGUGGUAAAAAUGCGGAAAAAACCGCCUCCCCCUUUAUAAUCACCCGGGGCCCUAUUGUUUUUAAGGGUUGGGUUUCUCGAGAUUUUUAAUCUUCCCCAUUUAUCUCGCUUUUUGGGUUUUUUUUUUGAGGCCCAAACCCAGAGAUCCUUUGAAAGUUGUAAUUAUUAAUUUGUUACGACGCUGAUUGCAAUUACAAAAGUCUAUGUUUGUCCUAGUGGUGGGCGAACCCACCAAGGAAACAAGAAGUACGCAAAAGACAAGGUGAAUAAUUCAGCAAGGCUGUAACCCCGAGAGAUUCCAGCCCGCUUUCAUAUUUGUGUACACAUAUUUCCGUAGGGGUAACCUGCGGAGGGAUCAUUACACAAAUAUGAAGGCGGGCUGGAAUCUCUCGGGGUUACAGCCUUGCUGAAUUAUUCACCCUUGUCUUUUGCGUACUUCUUGUUUCCUUGGUGGGUUCGCCCACCACUAGGACAAACAUAAACCUUUUGUAAUUGCAAUCAGCGUCAGUAACAAAUUAAUAAUUACAACUUUCAACAACGGAUCUCUUGGUUCUGGCAUCGAUGAAGAACGCAGCGAAAUGCGAUAAGUAGUGUGAAUUGCAGAAUUCAGUGAAUCAUCGAAUCUUUGAACGCACAUUGCGCCCUUUGGUAUUCCAAAGGGCAUGCCUGUUCGAGCGUCAUUUGUACCCUCAAGCUUUGCUUGGUGUUGGGCGUCUUGUCUCUAGCUUUGCUGGAGACUCGCCUUAAAGUAAUUGGCAGCCGGCCUACUGGUUUCGGAGCGCAGCACAAGUCGCACUCUCUAUCAGCAAAGGUCUAGCAUCCAUUAAGCCUUUUUCAACUUUUGACCUCGGAUCAGGUAGGAAACCCUUUG